GGCUGGCGGUGACAACGAGAGAGAGCACGCCGGUGGCCAUCACGGAUAGCCUGUGGCGGUGUACUUGUGUGCUCCCUCCCGUUGUCACUGUCAU
Dichanthelium oligosanthes is the source of this 94-nucleotide microRNA precursor. It matches the Rfam family "MIR535 microRNA precursor family". The record is from Rfam. NCBI's taxonomy places the organism in Eukaryota, Viridiplantae, Streptophyta, Magnoliopsida, Poales, Poaceae.